RNAcentral lists this ribosomal RNA (253 nucleotides) under uncultured bacterium. RNAcentral's name for it is "partial 16S ribosomal RNA". It matches the Rfam family "Bacterial small subunit ribosomal RNA", at positions 524 to 776 of the family's 1533-position model. The record is from RNAcentral.
UACGGAGGGGGCUAGCGUUGUUCGGAAUUACUGGGCGUAAAGCGCACGUAGGCGGCUUUGUAAGUUAGAGGUGAAAGCCCAGGGCUUAACCCUGGAAUUGCCUUUAAGACUGCAUCGCUAGAAUCGUGGAGAGGUGAGUGGAAUUCCGAGUGUAGAGGUGAAAUUCGUAGAUAUUUGGAGGAAUACCGGUGGCGAAGGCGGCCUUCUGGGCCAUUCUUGACGCUGAGACGCGAAAGCGUGGGUAGCAAACAGG